Molecule: RNA transcript, 3489 nt
Organism: Helianthus annuus (common sunflower)
Lineage: Eukaryota; Viridiplantae; Streptophyta; Magnoliopsida; Asterales; Asteraceae
Exons: 3
Source: RefSeq, a predicted model, not a curated record
AAGGGCCAUCUACGGUUGAAACAAAACAAACCACGGGUGAAAAUGAACAUCAUCUUCGCAUUCUUCCUCUUCACAAGAGUUCAACCUAACGUCUUUGCGUACAGAGAUCAAGAUCUACAAGAUUUUCUCACUCGUCACAUAGAUCAAGAUCUACAAGAUUUGCUCCAUGAAAACCCCUCUGUUUACCUCUCGCUGAUCAAGAUCUACGAGAUUUGCUCCAUGAAAACCCCUCUGUUUACCUCUCGCUGGUAUAUCAGUGAAGAUGACUCGGUAAUUCCAAUGCUGAAAAUGCUUAAAAAUUUUGGUCACGCUGUAUUCUUAGUGACAAAUAGGUACUUUUAUAUUCUUAACUUUUUUCCUCUAUGACUAUACACUUUUGUUUGUUAUUUAUGAAAAAUUAUAUAAUAUUAGUACCUUCAUUGUAUAUAUUAAUAAUUUCAUUUUCUUAUGUGUUAUAUUUGUAACCUAUAAUUGGUUAAUUUAAAGUGUACUCUUUGGGAUUAUACAAAUGUCGUGAUGAACUUUUUCUUUGAGGCGCACACAAUCGAUGGUUGCUCCUCUCCGAGUUUUGAUUAGCUCCAAGAUUUUGUUGAAGUGUUAUAUUUGUAACCUAAGUUUGUUUAACUUCUUCCUUUUCAGUCAAUUGAAUUAUUAUCAAUCACCUACUGUUUCUAUCUAUAAUGGCAAUAUUUGCUUAUUUCUCAUAACUUUUUCGUGAGAGAAAAGCUAUGAGAAAUAACCAAAUAUGGCUAUUACAAAAAGAAAACAAUAGGUAAUGAUAAUAAUUUACUUGACCGAAAAGAAAGAAGUUAACCAAUCUUAGGUUACAAUAUAGCACUUCAACAAAAUCUUGGAGCCAAUAAAAGCUCAAAGAGGAGCUGCCAUUGAUCAUGUGCGCCUCAAACAAAAAGUUCAUCACCACAUUUGUAUAAUCCCAAAGACUAUAAAUUAAACGAACCAAUCUUAGGUUACAAAUUUAGCACAUAAGAAAAUGGAAUUAUUUAUUUCGAUAAUGAAGCUACUAAUUUGUUAUAUAACUUUUCACAUAUAACAAACAAAAGUGGAUAGUCAUACAGAAAAAAGUAAGAAUAUAGAAGUACCUAUUUGUCACUAAGAAUAUAGCGCGACCAGAUUUUUAAGCAUUUUUAGCACUGGAAUUAUCAAGUCAUCCUCACUAAUAUACCUGAUAAUUAAACAACCAUUUAAGGAAAAAGAAAGCACUAAAGAAGCUAGCUAGCUGCAAGAAAAACAUAUAUGUGUGUGACUGUGUUUAGAAACACACACAUAGAUAUUAAUAUAUAAAAAAUGUAAGGCAUGUAUAUAUGUUGGUGUAUACAUAUAAACAAAAUCAAGUUAUGUUAAAAAAUCUGAGUUCUCAAAUAUGCAAAUAAUAUAUGAUAGAUGGCCAACAUCAAAUUUCUACUAUAUACUCUUAACUUUUUAUGACUUGAUUGACCUUAAAAUCUUUCUUAACUUCAUUAUGAAUAACUUAUAACAAAGUCCAAUUCUAUAGUACACAAUUACCUUUAUAAAUCAAUUCUGAUAACUUUUAGUAAUAAAUUGAUCCAAAAACCAUCAAAAUUACCUAAAUGAUUGAAUAUAUCCACUCCCAUCAAAAUUACCUAUAUAAAUUAAUUACCUAAAAGUUGCUAUUAAUGAAAGUUGGAAUCACAAUAAUAUAGCGAGCAUCAGAGAAGAGAGUACCCCCUUUAUUAUAAGGCAGGCCCCCCACGUCCUUUCUUAAUAGAUAGAGCAAUUGUCACAAUGCUUCAAUGUCUUCAACAAGAUCUUCAUCCAUCUCAUUUUUGUUUUCAUUUUCAUCUGAAUACAUAAAAAUAGAAGUUGUACUUUUAGUAAUCUAUAAACAUAAUAUUAAGUUGCAAAGAGAAUGAAUUUUAAUUCCUUCUAAAACAAAUAACCAAUCAUGGGUGCAUAGCAAUGCCUCAACAUUUGAUGAUAACAACGAAGUUUGAUACUUACUUAACACCUGACGCCCGAUAUUAAAAGAUGAUUCGAAAGCAACAGUAGUAAUCGGGAUGCUCAAUAUAUUGCGAGCCAUUACAACCAGUUUUUGAUACCUUCAUUGAUUCUCCUUCCCAUAAUGUAAAUAUCAUCUUCUACUUUUCUAUCAAGGUUAGGUUCAUCCAAAUACAAUGUUAAUUGUGACUUUUCAUUAUAAAAAUUUUUGUAUUGGCUUUGAAAGGUAUCGAACCUAUGUAACUCAUCAAGCGUUUUGUCACCAACAUCUGAGCUCUCGGGUAUUGUAGAAUCAUGCAUUGUUUGUGAUUGAAUAUCAUACUCCUUAUCAUAUAGAUUAGGGAAGUGCAUGGGUCAGUUUGGGUUGGUUAUGAGCUUCUAGAAAACAAAGUCGUGAUGUCAUUAAAAGGUAUCAAAAGUCGAGUGAUAUUCAAUCAUUGACAAUGCAUGAUUCUUCAAUACCGUAUUAAUGUGUCAUAAAAACAAAGUCACGAUGAUGUUUUCUGGAAGUUGCAUGGUUAUAGUAAUCAUUAGAUAUAAGUUGCAUGUAUGAUAUGAGCUUCGAGUAAACAAAGUCGUGAUGUCAAAAAGGUAAUUUAAAGUCGUGUGAUUGUUUCCACCCUUGUCCUUUCUUCUUCUUCUUCUGAUUCUGAUGGAGAAGAUUUUAAAUUUGAAUCCACUAGGGCUAAUUGAGCAAAAUCCCGGCGACAAGCUAAUACAAAAUCAAGCAUAAGAAAUGUAGAGUUCCAUCUGUUACAAUAUCUUGACGAACAUGCUUCCCGCACUGCAAUGAAAGUAUUUCUAUGAAUUAUGCAAAUGUAUACUUCCUAGCAGCACUUGCUCGGACAUACUUCAUUGACACUUGAACCUUUUCAAUGGCUCCUUCAAUUACUUUCAAUCAAGCUUGAACGAUAAGAUUUAACAACGCUAAACAAUGCACAUGAAUAAAAUCUCCAUCACACACUAAUACAUUAUUCAAAUGCAAAUGACCUUUUAAACAAUCUACUAAAAUAUCAUUAUAUAUUGCAUUGUCUAGUGUGAUAGUAGAAACUUUUUUCUCAAUGCCCUAAUUUGCUAAACAAAUUAUCAAGUGCUCUGCUAUAAUGGAACCACUAUGUGGAGGGGCUGUCACUCUAAAGUCUAGCACUUUUUUUCUUAUAUACCAGUUCUCAUCAACAUAAUGAGCUGUCACUGCUAUAUAUUCAUCUGUCGUGAUAGAACUCCAUAAAUCAGAAGACACGCAUAUUGUCACACCCCGAAUUUCCAACCAUAACCCGGUAGGCCUGGUGGGGAGUAUCGUGACGGAAGAUUGACAUAGUUAUGGUCAAACAUACACAGAAUAGCAAAGCGGAAGUCUUGGAAUAUAAAAUAUUAUUACAAACUCAGUUGUCCGAAAAUAUCAGAGUAAUAAUUACAGACGAGCUUGUAAUAAUAAUCCAGAGGCGGAUCAUUAUGUACAAAAGGAUUUCAACAGACUAAUAGGCUUAUGCAAUUAUACAAAGGAGUUGCAAA